This 245-nucleotide ribosomal RNA is filed under the name uncultured bacterium. Its description in RNAcentral is "partial 16S ribosomal RNA". It matches the Rfam family "Bacterial small subunit ribosomal RNA", at positions 524 to 768 of the family's 1533-position model. The record is from RNAcentral.
GACGAACCGUGCGAACGUUGUUCGGAUUCACUGGGCUUAAAGGGCGCGUAGGCGGUCGACCAAGUCUGGGGUGAAAUCUUUCGGCUCAACCGGAAAAGUGCCCCCGAUACUGGCCGGCUAGAGGGAGAUAGGGGCAUGCGGAACUUCCGGUGGAGCGGUGAAAUGCGUAGAUAUCGGAAGGAACGCCGGUGGCGAAAGCGGCGUGCUGGAUCUCUUCUGACGCUGAGGCGCGAAAGCCAGGGGAG